Molecule: ribosomal RNA, 478 nt
Filed under: uncultured bacterium
Lineage: Bacteria
Description: partial 16S ribosomal RNA
Rfam family: Bacterial small subunit ribosomal RNA
Source: RNAcentral
GAUGAACGCUGGCGGCGUGCUUAGCACAUGCAAGUCGAACGAGAAGUGGAGACGGACACCUUCGGGCGGAAGACUUUACUUCGAGUGGCGGACGGGUGAGUAACGCGUGGGUAACCUGCCUCAUACAGGGGGAUAACAGUUGGAAACGACUGUUAAUACCGCAUAAGACCACAGCACCGCAUGGUGCGGGGGUAAAAACUCCGGUGGUAUGAGAUGGACCCGCGUUCGAUUAGCCAGUUGGCGGGGUAACGGCCCACCAAAGCGACGAUCGAUAGCCGAUCUGAGAGGAUGACCGGCCACAUUGGGACUGAGACACGGCCCAAACUCCUACGGGAGGCAGCAGUGGGGAAUAUUGCACAAUGGGGGAAACCCUGAUGCAGCGACGCCGCGUGAGUGAAGAAGUAUUUCGGUAUGUAAAGCUCUAUCAGCAGGGAAGAAAAUGACAGUACCUGAGUAAGAAGCCCCGGCUAACUACGUG